Molecule: non-coding RNA, 127 nt
Organism: Puccinia triticina 1-1 BBBD Race 1
Lineage: Eukaryota; Fungi; Basidiomycota; Pucciniomycetes; Pucciniales; Pucciniaceae
Source: Rfam
GCUGAGAUGUCCGAGCGGUCUAAGGAGCCAGAUUCAAGUGCCCGACGUCCUGUUCCACUUGCACGCCUCAAAGCGUGUGUACUUCCUGGUAGGGCAACCUGCGGGGGUUCGAAUCCCCCUCUCAGCA